RNAcentral lists this ribosomal RNA (512 nucleotides) under uncultured bacterium. RNAcentral describes it as "partial 16S ribosomal RNA". It matches the Rfam family "Bacterial small subunit ribosomal RNA", at positions 28 to 523 of the family's 1533-position model. The record is from RNAcentral.
GACGAACGCUGGUGGCGUGCCUAAUACAUGCAAGUCGAGCGGACCAAUAGAAGCUUGCUUCUGUUGGUUAGCGGCGGACGGGUGAGUAACACGUGGGCAACCUGCCUAUAAGACUGGGAUAACUUCGGGAAACCGGAGCUAAUACCGGAUAAUUCAUCCCCUCGCAGGAGGGGAUGCUGAAAGUCGGUUUACGCUGACACUUACAGAUGGGCCCGCGGCGCAGUAGCUAGUUGGUGAGGUAAUGGCUCACCAAGGCGACGAUGCGUAGCCGACCUGAGAGGGGGAUCGGCCACACUGGGACUGAGACACGGCCCAGACUCCUACGGGAGGCAGCAGUAGGGAAUCUUCCACAAUGGACGGAAGUCUGAUGGAGCAACGCCGCGUGAGCGAUGAAGGCCUUCGGGUCGUAAAGCUCUGUUGUUAGGGAAGAACAAGUAUCGGAGUAACUGCCGGUACCUUGACGGUACCUAACCAGAAAGCCACGGCUAACUAUGUGCCAGCAGCCGCGGUAA